UUGGCUUGUAGGGCAUAUUCUUUUCAGAUUUUAGAUUAUGCAUGCACCUAUCAUGUAUGUUGUAGAAAAAAAUAGUUUGACUCACUAGAGAAAAGUGAGGGCACUGUUUAUCUGCCGGAUAGAUCAAGCUGUGCGAUUAGAGGCAUCGGGAUGGUUAGCUGGAGGAUACAGAUGGUACAGUGAGGAGAUUAGGGGAGGUCUGAUAUAUAUCCGAUUUUAGACAGAAUUUCAUUUCACUGAGCAGACUGGAUUCAAGAGGCUAUAGGAUGGUAGCUAGUGGAGGAAUCUUGAAGGUGUUGCACGAUGAUAGGAUUAUUCUGGAGGAAAA
Molecule: long non-coding RNA, 328 nt
Filed under: Elaeis guineensis (African oil palm)
Lineage: Eukaryota; Viridiplantae; Streptophyta; Magnoliopsida; Arecales; Arecaceae
Description: long non-coding RNA (EGUI_LNC053211)
Source: RNAcentral